This 406-nucleotide ribosomal RNA is filed under the name uncultured bacterium. Its description in RNAcentral is "partial 16S ribosomal RNA". It matches the Rfam family "Bacterial small subunit ribosomal RNA", at positions 30 to 526 of the family's 1533-position model. The record is from RNAcentral.
AUUGAACUCUGGCGGCAGGCCUAACACAUGCAAGUCGAACGAGUGGCAGACGGGUGAGUAAUGUCUGGGAAACUGCCCGAUGGAGGGGGAUAACUAAUGGAAACGGUAGCUAAUACCGCAUACCAUCGGAUGUGCCCAGAUGGGAUUAGCUAGUAGGUGGGGUAACGGCUCACCUAGGGGACGAUCCCUAGCUGGUCUGAGAGGAUUACCAGCCCCACUGGAACGGAGACACGGUCCAGAUUCCUACGGGAGGCAGCAGUGGGGAAUAUUGCAAGAUGGGCGCAAGCCUGAUGCAGCCAUGCCGCGUGUAUGAAGAAGGCCUUCGGGUUGUAAAGUACUUUCAGCGGGGAGGCGUUACCCGCAGAAGAAGCACCGGCUAACUCCGUGCCAGCCGCCGCGGUAAUAC